Long non-coding RNA from Mus musculus (house mouse), 1210 nucleotides. RefSeq annotates it as predicted gene, 30368. The transcript has 4 exons. Lineage: Eukaryota; Metazoa; Chordata; Mammalia; Rodentia; Muridae. The record is from RefSeq and is marked validated.
GUUUUCUGGAGCAGAGGGUGACCAACUGAGCCCUGGCCCUGUGACUGGGGACAGCUGCAGCGGGGGAGGGGUCAGGAGACUCUAGAGUGGAGAGGAAGAGUGAACAGGGAAUGGCCUUGGCCAAAAUGUCCCCCUGCCUCCCUUUUCCCCGGGUGGCCACACCCUUCCCACUCCCACUUCUCAGAAAACGGCAAAGCAGCAGAAUACUGGACUUUGCAAGGCAGAUGUAGCCACUGAGGACCAGAGAAAACACCUGUCCAAGGCAGCACAGCUGGGACCAGAAGCAAGUCCCCAAUUGUCUACUCUCCUGUGCCCAUCUGCUUCUGCUCAGUCCCCUAGACCUUGGAACAGAGGGUCCCGCACUCACACAGGCCAUGAUUGAAGCUGAAGCGAAGAGAUUCCUGAGACCUGCUCCACCAGCAGUCAGAAGACUCCACCCGAGAGACGGGCCCCAGGCCCGCUCCGACCUUUUUAACUGGAUCAGACCCGGGCCCUGCACUUCGCAUUGAAGGAUGAAGACUGCUGUAGGUCACCGCCCUGCGGAAUGCUGUGUCCUGUGAUGUGUGUGAAAUGUAUCCUACGUGGCAGAGAAUUCGCUGCUGGGACUUGAAGCACAGGCGGCAGCUCAUCUACCAUUGAGCUACUACACACCUGACCAGGGCACCACAUAGCUACUGCUUCCUAAGAGUAAUAGAGUCCUGGGUUAUGUGGAUGCAUGUCUCUGUGGAGGCCAAAGGACUUCAAGUGUCCCUGCUCCAGCAACACCCCCCCUUCUUUUUCAAACAGGGUUUCUCUGUGUAGCCCUGGUUGUCCUGGAACUCACUUUGUAGACCAGGCUGGUUGCAAACUCACAGAGAUCCACCUGCCUCUACCUCCUCACUACUGAAAUCAAAGGCCACCACUCCUGGGUUUUUAAGGGACUGAAACCAACCUACAGGGAAAGGCCUCAGAGAUGCUAAAAGCUCAAUGGGCAAAAUGUAUCUGCGCUGAGGCUGAGGACACAGAGAUGGGAGGCAUCCUUUCUUGUGGGCUAUGGGUAUAGGAGGCGGUGCUUCAGGGAGACAGGCUUAGGCACACACACACAAAGAGAGACACUUCAAUUCACAUUUUAUUAAGUUCAAGGACCGGUUACAACAGGUGGAGGGGGUGGGAAGGUCCCUACCCCCACCUUCACUGGCACACAAUAAAUAAAUAAAUAGCUGGGAAUGGG